GGUUUCGGGCUUGGAAGGAUUAU
Molecule: small nuclear RNA, 23 nt
Filed under: Arabidopsis thaliana (thale cress)
Lineage: Eukaryota; Viridiplantae; Streptophyta; Magnoliopsida; Brassicales; Brassicaceae
Description: snRNA_14649
Source: RNAcentral